UACUGUGAUCUGUAAGUAGUUUAAAGUCGUAUAGAACAUUAGUAGAAUACCACAAGGGUCGGUUUUAGGGUCGAUCCUCUUUUCAGUGUUUUGUAAUGAUCUUCCUGAAGUUAUGCAAGGCGAUGAUGGAGAGAUUGAAAAGUUUGCUGAUGAUACCACCAUAUAUGUGAUUGGACCAAAACCCGAUAGUGUUGCAAGUAUCCUCAAUGAAAUGUUACGGAAAUUGUCAUGGUGGUGUUUGAAGAACUUAUUGACGGUUCACACUGGAAAAACAGAAUAUAUGCUGUUGGGGUGUCCUUGGUUCAUCAGUCCAUUGCCGCAAAUCAAACUUGAUCAGUCUGUCAUUAAAUUGGUUAACACAAAAAUAUGUCUUGGUUAAAAGUGGAUUCCUGUCUCAAAUGGGACGUUCAUGCCUUGGAAGUAGUUGAAUCGUUCAAUAAGAAACUAAACCUGCUUAAAUCGUUUCAUUUUCUACCUCUGCAAGCAAGUUUGGACUUCUAUUUUAAGGUUAUUCUGCCAUCAAUAACUUACGGAAUUUUAAUCUGGGGAUCCGUUGGGAAAACGAUAUUUGACAAUUUGGAAAGAAUUCACAUCAGGGCAGCACGACUAAUCUACCAGUAUGCCUGGGACAAACCUUCGAAAGAAGUUCAAACUCAAACAAACUGGAGGCUACUUAAAUUAUUUUAUAAUUUAAAAUUGUUAAAACUAGUCUUCAAGUAUUACCACAAUUUAUCACCUAUAACGUUCCAACAUAUAUUCACAAAGAGAGAACAACUGUAUAAUUUUAGAAAAACAAUUUUUUUGAAAAUCCCAAAGUUUAAAACAGACUUCAUGAAAAAAUCUGUCGGGUAUCUAGGUGCAAUCCUUUGGAACUCUCUGGAAAAUAGUGAUAGAUCUUUAGAUAGUUAUAUUGCAUUGAAAAAUAAUUUUAUUAAGAAAUUCUAGAUGACUAUAAAUUUAACUUAUUUUAUUAACUAUUAUUUAAUUAGUAUACUCACGACCACUUCAGCUACGCUGUACGAGUAUCGUGUUUAAAUAAAAGC
Non-coding RNA from Paramuricea clavata, 1043 nucleotides. NCBI's taxonomy places the organism in Eukaryota, Metazoa, Cnidaria, Anthozoa, Malacalcyonacea, Plexauridae. The record is from the annotation of a GenBank genome assembly.